UUUUGGAGUUAGAGUUUGCAUGUGGUCAGCUGAGCUGUUUCUCUGGGUUACUCCUAAAGGAAGAUAUAGCCAAGGCUUCAUGGGAGAGCUCUCUCUGUUCCCUCCAUGAAUCUACACUGAAGCAGGGCUGUGCCAGAAGCAGGAAGGUAUUUUUGGAGACUGAUGCCACUGGUGACUCAAGACGAAGCCUUCAUGCCUCUCUGAUGAAGACAGGCUGUUCCCAUCAGGGGAAGGUUAGAGCAGUACACUCAGUGACCAGAACACUCAACCCAGCCUCUCCCUGGCCACCAAGGAGGUUGAGCUCUGGUGGGGCACCCUGACAGGAUCACUGCUGCCAGGAGGUGAUGCUCCCCUUCAUCCUCACAACACCUCUACAUUCCCACCCUGCAGAUGCACUUAUGGCCACCCUGCAGCACCAGUGUUUCUUGGAACUCUCACCAAGCUGAACCAGCUCCUGAAAUGAGAGGGAAAUGAACAUCAGGAAUAAAGGGCAUAUUCCGGUGGAUCA
This 508-nucleotide long non-coding RNA is filed under the name Junco hyemalis (dark-eyed junco). RNAcentral describes it as "lncRNA (ENSJHYG00000000614.1)". Lineage: Eukaryota; Metazoa; Chordata; Aves; Passeriformes; Passerellidae. The record is from RNAcentral.